AGAGAGAGACAUGCGUGCAUAUCAAUAAGCGGAGGAAAAGAAACUAACUAGGAUUCCCUCAGUAACGGCGAGUGAAGCGGGAAGAGCUCAAAUUUGAAAUCUUCAAGGUUCUACCUUGACGAAUUGUAGUUUAAAGAAGUGUUUUCUGUUGGAGUUUUGGUAAAAGUUCUUUGGAAUAGGACAUCAUAGAGGGUGAGAAUCCCGUAUUUGACCAUUAUUUCCAGCUUUGUGAUACACUUUCAAAGAGUCGGAUUGUUUGGGAAUGCAGUCCAAAAUGGGUGGUAAAUUUCAUCUAAAGCUAAAUAUUGGCGAGAGACCGAUAGCGAACAAGUACCGUGAGGGAAAGAUGAAAAGAACUUUGAAAAGAGAGUUAAACAGUACGUGAAAUUGUCAAAAGGGAAGCGUUUGACACCAGUGUUGUUUUCUCGAAAAUCAAUUAAAAAAGGCAGGAUUUUGUGUUGUAUUGACUUUAUCAGCUUUCUGCACUCUUUUCUUGUCUUUCUUUAAUGCACUUUUCAGUUAACAAGUCAACAUCAAUUUCUUUUGCUGUAAAAAAGCUUGAGGAAGGUGGCUUGAGAUUCGUCUUAAGUGUUUAUAGCCUCUUGCCUAUGCAGUCGGAGAGAUUGAGGUCUGCAGCGUAGAUCCUUCGGGGCUAAAUGCAUUUGUGCUAAGUUAUAGCAUUUUAUAGACAACUUGUUGACUAUGAUUUGUCUUGUAGCUUACUCGCUUAUGCUAUUUUACCUACGCUUAGGAUGUUGA
RNAcentral lists this ribosomal RNA (759 nucleotides) under uncultured Neocallimastigales. Its description in RNAcentral is "partial large subunit ribosomal RNA". It matches the Rfam family "Eukaryotic large subunit ribosomal RNA", at positions 23 to 629 of the family's 3401-position model. Lineage: Eukaryota; Fungi; Neocallimastigomycota; Neocallimastigomycetes; Neocallimastigales. The record is from RNAcentral.